CCUCCUGUAGCUCAAAUGGCCUAAGAGCACGGCGGACAACGCCGAAGAUGUGGGUUCGAUUCCCAUCAGGAGAU
This 74-nucleotide transfer RNA is filed under the name bacterium. RNAcentral describes it as "tRNA-Cys". It matches the Rfam family "tRNA". From Rfam's summary of the family: Transfer RNA (tRNA) molecules are approximately 80 nucleotides in length. The record is from RNAcentral.